Molecule: ribosomal RNA, 520 nt
Filed under: uncultured bacterium
Lineage: Bacteria
Description: bacterial SSU rRNA
Rfam family: Archaeal small subunit ribosomal RNA
Source: RNAcentral
AACCUCCGCAAUGUGAGAAAUCGCGACGGGGGGAUCCCAAGUGCCAUUCUUAACGGGAUGGCUUUUCAUUAGUGUAAAGAGCUUUUGGAAUAAGAGCUGGGCAAGACCGGCGCCAGCCGCCGCGGUAACACCGGCAGCUCUAGUGGUAACAAUUUUUAUUGGGCCUAAAGCGUCCGUAGCCGGUUUAAUAAGUCUCUGGUGAAAUCCUGCAGCUUAACUGUGGGAAUUGCUGGAGAUACUAUUAGACUUGGGACCGGGAGAGGUUAGAGGUACUCCCAGGGUAGAGGUGAAAUUCUGUAAUCCUGGGAGGACCGCCUGUUGCGAAGGCGUCUAACUGGAACGGUUCUGACGGUGAGGGACGAAAGUUAGGGGCGCGAACCGGAUUAGAUACCCGGGUAGUCCUAACUGUAACGAUGCGGACUUGGUGUUGGGGUGGCUUUGAGCUGCUUCAGUGCUGAAGGGAAGCUGUUAAGUCCGCCGCCUGGGAAGUACGGUCGCAAGACUGAAACUUAAAGGAAUU